RNAcentral lists this long non-coding RNA (861 nucleotides) under Monodelphis domestica (gray short-tailed opossum). Its description in RNAcentral is "lncRNA (ENSMODG00000040760.1)". Lineage: Eukaryota; Metazoa; Chordata; Mammalia; Didelphimorphia; Didelphidae. The record is from RNAcentral.
UGAAGCAGUGUGUGUUUAUUGCUGGUGACCACAAGACAUAAAUCUUGCCAGCACAAUGUACAAUGGAAGGCAGCCCCCAGGUUUUUUUUUUUUUCAGUCUCAAUUUGUGUGUAAGUGUGUGUUAAGUGCCGUUGAAAAAUAGUGACCUUUAAUAAAGGAUUGUAUCCUGAGACUCUUUUCCCAGACACACAGUGACCUUUCAAACCAGACUGGGGUGAGGGGGUGUGGAGCCUGGACUUUGAACCGGCCAGUUCCUGCUGGGUUCCUCUGUUAGCCUGGCUACUACUUAUUGUGUCGCAAGGGAGCGUUCUGUAUGCAAAGCAGGCUGGCCUGCCAGCCUGAACCUUUGCAAAUCAAUUUGUCUGUGAAGGCGAGUCUACUGGAGUGAAAGAUGGUCUAGCAGGACACACUGCGCCCCUCUCUUUGUGACAUCAUCGCUUGUGGCACUCUUGUCAGGCACAUCAACCCGAAAGGGACUGUUGGAAAGGGGGCCCGCGGGGGGUUGUGGCUGGGGAGGGGGGAUGGGAGAGGUUAAUCCUUCCUGACCAACUGCGGCCGGAGAGACAGACAAGGGGCGUUCUUCUUCAGGAGACAAAGCAGGGUGUUCUUGAGGGGGCUUGGGGCACUUCUGGCUUCCACUUUCAAGAGAGAUGAUGGAAGAUACCAAUUCUACUUUGGGCACCUGAAGGAAAAGACUAUGAAAACUCUGACAUGAGAGCAGCUGGCAAUCUCCAUCAUUUCUGUAUCUCCAACUAGAGACUUUAAGGAACUUCCCCUUGGGGUCUCAUCUGGAACUGGUCAGGCAUGGAGAACAUUGGCACAGAGAGUUAAAAAGAAAAAUAAAAUUCUCCUGGAGAAACA